Molecule: ribosomal RNA, 472 nt
Filed under: Aspidosiphon albus
Lineage: Eukaryota; Metazoa; Annelida; Sipuncula; Aspidosiphonidormes; Aspidosiphonidae
Description: partial 16S ribosomal RNA
Rfam family: Bacterial large subunit ribosomal RNA
Source: RNAcentral
GGCCUGUAGGUAAGUAAUUACAGGUCUAGCCUGCCCGGUGAGGUAUUUUAACGGCCGCAGUAGCCUGACUGUGCUAAGGUAGCGCAAUCACUUGCCUUUUAAUUGGAGGCUGGUAUGAAUGGCUGGUCGAGGGUUUAGCUGUCUCUUUUAAGGCUUUAUAGAAAUUGCUUAUAGGUGCAGAAGCCUAGAUUUUAAUGAAAGACGAGAAGACCCUAAUGUGCUUUAAUUUAGAAUUUUUAUAUUAAAAUUUAGAAUUUUUGUUGGGGAAACAUGGGAAUAUAAAAAGCUUCCCUAAUUAGAUAUUUAGUCCGCUAAUUAAAGCGAUUAUAGAAAAAGUAACCAUAGGGAUAACAGACUAAUUUCCUUUGAGAGUUCACAUUAACAAGGAUGUUUGGCACCUCGAUGUUGGCUUAAGAAUGUUACUAUGAAGCAGAAAUCUAGUGNAUGGGCUUGNUCAGCCUUUAAAUUCUUA